GUUGUGGCUCAGUGGUAGAGCGCUUGCCUAGCAUGUGUGAGGCACUGGGUUUGAUCCUCAGUAUAAUA
Molecule: transfer RNA, 68 nt
Filed under: Marmota monax (woodchuck)
Lineage: Eukaryota; Metazoa; Chordata; Mammalia; Rodentia; Sciuridae
Description: tRNA.Ala
Source: RNAcentral